Molecule: ribosomal RNA, 489 nt
Filed under: uncultured bacterium
Lineage: Bacteria
Description: partial 16S ribosomal RNA
Rfam family: Bacterial small subunit ribosomal RNA
Source: RNAcentral
GAUGAACGCUAGCGGGAGGCCUAACACAUGCAAGCCGAGCGGGAUUUGUUGGUUAGCUUGCUAACUAACAAUGUGAGCGGCGUACGGGUGCGUAGCACGUGUGCAACCUGCCUUUAUCUGGGGGAUAGCCUUUCGAAAGGAAGAUUAAUACCCCAUAACAUAUUGAUUGGCAUCAGUUAAUAUUGAAAGCUCCGGCGGAUAGAGAUGGGCACGCGUAAGAUUAGCUAGUUGGUGAGGUAACGGCUCACCAAGGCUGCGAUCUUUAGGGGGCCUGAGAGGGUGAUCCCCCACACUGGUACUGAGACACGGACCAGACUCCUACGGGAGGCAGCAGUGAGGAAUAUUGGACAAUGGGUGAGAGCCUGAUCCAGCCAUCCCGCGUGAAGGACUAAGGACCUAUGGUUUGUAAACUUCUUUUAUACAGGGAUAAACCUACUCUCGUGAGGGUAGCUGAAGGUACUGUAUGAAUAAGCACCGGCUAACUCCGUG